UACGUAGGGUGCAAGCGUUGUCCGGAAUUAUUGGGCGUAAAGCGCGCGCAGGCGGUUCUUUAAGUCUGAUGUGAAAGCCCACGGCUCAACCGUGGAGGGUCAUUGGAAACUGGAGAACUUGAGUACAGAAGAGGAAAGCGGAAUUCCACGUGUAGCGGUGAAAUGCGUAGAGAUGUGGAGGAACACCAGUGGCGAAGGCGGCUUUCUGGUCUGUAACUGACGCUGAGGCGCGAAAGCGUGGGGAGCAAACAGG
RNAcentral lists this ribosomal RNA (253 nucleotides) under uncultured bacterium. RNAcentral's name for it is "partial 16S ribosomal RNA". It matches the Rfam family "Bacterial small subunit ribosomal RNA", at positions 524 to 776 of the family's 1533-position model. The record is from RNAcentral.